This 629-nucleotide long non-coding RNA is filed under the name Pan troglodytes (chimpanzee). RNAcentral's name for it is "long non-coding RNA NONPTRT003903". Lineage: Eukaryota; Metazoa; Chordata; Mammalia; Primates; Hominidae. The record is from RNAcentral.
AAAGGAUGCAACCUUGUUCUCAACCACUUGCUAUCUCGUGAUUCAGGGAUUGGAUGAGUCUCUAUGGUUUGUUUUGCCCUGAAGAGCAGAAGGCUUCUGUCCCAACUGGUGUUGCCAAAGCAACAUAUUAAUUCCAUGCCAUGAUCCUGGGUCAAGAUCUGCACAAUCUGAUUGGGCAUGUCACCUCGGAUGGCAAGGGAGUGGAAGUGGUCAAAAUCAUGGAGUCCUAGCUUUCGGAGACGCCUUGCAGCUGCCCGGUAACACUUCCAGGGUUGGGGCUCCACAAGGAGGUAGCGGCAGAGGGAGGAAAGAUGGGCCAGGAACUCCCAUAGGCCAUGGUCUCCAUGAUUCAGAUGAAUCCACAUGGUUAUUGACAUGCAGAAGCCAAUGUCAAAAACUGAACGUCCAAAUUGGCUUAAGAAAGAGCUCAAGAGAACCUUCCGGGUCCUUUGAUUCAUGAAGUCCAGGGUGAUAAAAGUCAAGGCAUCAGGAAAAGGACAUUCUUUUUCGGCUCGCUUCACCAGGACUGGAUCUAUGUCGCAGCAGAGGAGACGGAAUUCUCUUGAGGCAUCUGAGCAGGUCUCCCCGUCAGGUAGGGAGAGGAAGUGUUUGUAUAGAGCCACACUCAG